AUGACCAGUGAUAAGAGUAUUUCAUAAACCAGGGAUUGUAAUUCAUCUAAUUUUGUGUAUUUAAGGUCCAGG
RNAcentral lists this small nucleolar RNA (72 nucleotides) under Tursiops truncatus (common bottlenose dolphin). Its description in RNAcentral is "Small nucleolar RNA SNORD112 (ENSTTRG00000024591.1)". The record is from RNAcentral. Lineage: Eukaryota; Metazoa; Chordata; Mammalia; Artiodactyla; Delphinidae.